This is a small nucleolar RNA of Cavia porcellus (domestic guinea pig), 75 nucleotides long. It matches the Rfam family "Small nucleolar RNA SNORD113/SNORD114 family". Rfam says of the family: The imprinted human domain at 14q32 contains two clusters of tandemly repeated small nucleolar RNAs named 14q(I) and 14q(II) snoRNAs. These two clusters are named SNORD113 and SNORD114 respectively in the HGNC approved gene symbol nomenclature. NCBI's taxonomy places the organism in Eukaryota, Metazoa, Chordata, Mammalia, Rodentia, Caviidae. The record is from Rfam.
UGGACCACGGAUGAUGUCUGCUGGCUAAUGAGUCUUUCACACUGAAUAAUCUGUGCCUGAAACCCUGAGUUCGGC